CGGACAUAUCACAUUGAAACACUACUUCCCGUACGAUUACCGAAGUUAAGCGACGUCGAGCCGAGUCAGUAACUAGAUGGGUGACUGAUUGGGAAUACCAGGUGCUAUC
Molecule: non-coding RNA, 109 nt
Organism: Acanthosepion pharaonis
Lineage: Eukaryota; Metazoa; Mollusca; Cephalopoda; Sepiida; Sepiidae
Source: the annotation of a GenBank genome assembly